This 422-nucleotide ribosomal RNA is filed under the name uncultured Paraglomeraceae. RNAcentral describes it as "SSU rRNA". It matches the Rfam family "Eukaryotic small subunit ribosomal RNA", at positions 459 to 886 of the family's 1831-position model. Lineage: Eukaryota; Fungi; Glomeromycota; Glomeromycetes; Paraglomerales. The record is from RNAcentral.
GGGAGGUAGUGACAAUAAAUAACAACACAGGGCUCUUUCGGGUCUUGUUAUUGGAAUGAGUACGAUUUAAAUCUCCUAACGAGGAACAAUUGGAGGGCAAGUCUGGUGCCAGCAGCCGCGGUAAUUCCAGCUCCAAUAGCGUAUAUUAAAGUUGUUGCAGUUAAAAAGCUCGUAGUUGAAUUUCAGGCCUGGCUGGACGGUCCGCCCUCUGGGUGAGAACUGUCUGUGGUCGGGUCCUACCUUCUGGCGAAGCGUCAUGGCCUUAACCGGCCGUGGCGGGGAACCAGGACUUUUACUGUGAAAAAUUAGAGUGUUCAAAGCAGGCAGUCGCUUGAAUACAUUAGCAUGGAAUAAUGGAAUAGGACAGUGGUUCUAUUUGUUGGUUUCUAGGACCGUUGUAAUGAUUAAUAGGGAUAGUUGGG